This 266-nucleotide ribosomal RNA is filed under the name uncultured bacterium. Its description in RNAcentral is "partial 16S ribosomal RNA". It matches the Rfam family "Bacterial small subunit ribosomal RNA", at positions 793 to 1055 of the family's 1533-position model. The record is from RNAcentral.
GUCCACGCCGUAAACGAUGAGUACUGGGUGUCGCGGGUAGUUGACCCCUGCGGUGCCGUAGCUAACGCGUUAAGUACUCCGCCUGGGGAUUACGGUCGCAAGAUUAAAACUCAAAGGAAUUGACGGGGGCCCGCACAAGCGGUGGAGCAUGUGGUUUAAUUCGACGCAACGCGAAGAACCUUACCUGGGCUAGACAACGGUGGACCUCCCCAGAGAUGGGGCUUUCCCUUCGGUGACUGCCGGUUCAGGUGCUGCAUGGCUGUCGU